This 75-nucleotide transfer RNA is filed under the name Modicisalibacter ilicicola DSM 19980. RNAcentral describes it as "Halomonas ilicicola DSM 19980 tRNA_Gly_GCC". It matches the Rfam family "tRNA". Rfam says of the family: Transfer RNA (tRNA) molecules are approximately 80 nucleotides in length. The record is from RNAcentral. Lineage: Bacteria; Pseudomonadati; Pseudomonadota; Gammaproteobacteria; Oceanospirillales; Halomonadaceae.
GCGGGAAUAGCUCAGUGGUAGAGCACCACCUUGCCAAGGUGGGGGUCGCGAGUUCGAAUCUCGUUUCCCGCUCCA